Non-coding RNA from Meleagris gallopavo (turkey), 530 nucleotides. NCBI's taxonomy places the organism in Eukaryota, Metazoa, Chordata, Aves, Galliformes, Phasianidae. The record is from RefSeq and is a predicted model, not a curated record.
CAGCCUUCUUGACAGAAGACAUCAUUGCCUGCCCUUCUGUGGGUUAACUACCUGGUGUAGAUGUAUUAAGAAGACUUUAAAUGUUUGCUUUGGAUGUUGAUACUGAGGGUGAAGAAGCUCUGACAUGGUCCAGAAAUGAAGCAAUCUAGUGAGCAGUGCCCUGUGUAAAGUCACCAGAUGGAAGGAAAUGGGGGGAACGAAAGGACUACACAAAGAUUGAAGAACAUAAUAGAAGAGAUUGCUGCUUUCUACAGAAAGAUGUGGAUGAGGCCAGAACUUGUUCAUUUGACUGCAGAGUUGCCAUCUCCUUGGGAAGUGUUGUGCUUGCGGAAUGAAGAUCUCUCACCGUGGAGCCCCAGGAAUUGACAGGAGCUUUUGUUCAGGUCUGGUCCCAGAAUUCCUCUCUUCUGUUAAUCCAAUUGGUGCUUGACCACUUGGGAUAGGAGAUUAAAAGCGUCCCAAUCUGUUCAUUGGUGAAAUAUCCUAGCCUGCUGGAACAAGAUAUCUAAAAAAAGUAAUUAAAACAGUAA